CCAGCUUCCUAUAAAAUCUUUUCAAAGCGAACACAGUGUACCAUUUAAGCGCAGGCUGGCAGAGCCCACAGCUGUCCCCUGCACACACGCCCUGCCCCCGAACAGCUGCAGCUUCGCCUCAGAUCUGUGGCUGGACUCGCUUGCAGCUGAGGAUUUUUGCACGGCCACCGGUGAUGCACCCAUGGGGAAACGCCCUCCAGCCUUCAUGUUGAUCCCUAACCGUAACAUGAAUAGUUCACAGAUGAUUCACUCGGACUCUUUCCAACGCAUGAUGUUGGCCUCUUCCUAUUACUGACUCAGCCUUGCCUGUUACGCGAAAUUCCUGACAAUGUCAAUGGGUCUUUGAAAAGCAGCUGUAAAGAUCUGAAGAAUUUGAUCUACUCAGCUAAUUUAAAUGGGCUGGCCAGUUUGGUUUCAGACAUUACUUCCUGUACAAUUAUCACCCAACUUAUUCAUAAACAUUAAUCAUGUUUAUACGUUUGUUUCAAUUAGAUCUCAUAAAGAAAUUUUAAAGUGCCACAAUCUAUUAGUAUGUGGCAGUAAUGACAGUACCUUCUAUAAACAAUCUGAUAAUUCUUAAACAAAAUAUAAAGUAAGUUUUGAGUUGAAAUUACCAACAUUUUAGGAAGAUUUUUUUCUAUGUAUUUCUAUUAAUGCAAUAUUUCACAAAGUCAGAGGUGUAAAAUUAUAAAUACUCAUUAUUGUACAAUAGGAAAGUAUUGCAGUAAUGUGCAUGCACUGGUGUUCUGGAGGAAUAACCUCUGACUUCUCAGGAAGAACAUUUCAUUUUUAUUGCCAACAUCAGCAACAUGACACUAUAGUGUUUUAGUAUUUCCUGAUUUAGCAAUUUUACUGCUUAGCUUCAGAUGUUGACAUUAACAUUUUUAAAAAUCCCAAUUUACCUCAAACGUUUUGCUAUUUUGGUUAAUCUUGUUUCAGUAAAAUAUUUCAAGUGUUGAAAUGCACAUACUGCAGGACUUACUUUUAAGGAGGACAUUUACAAACAUGUCUCUAAAUCUAAAAAUGUUCCCUAUGUAAACCAAGGUUGUGUUUAUUUAGUGUCUGUAAAACUAUUUCCACGCAUUUGACAUGCAAGUGAAAUCUCAUGUAAAAUUAGCAGGCUUCUCCUUUAAGAGAACAAGAUACAUAGCGCAGUGGAUACUUUAGUAAGAAUACUUAUUCACUAUUGCCCAAUAUCUCUUAUUUGAUCAUGAUUAGGAAUGAUGAGAGAUUCAAGAACAUUUUAAGAACCUAAUCUAGGAUUUUUUUGUUAAACCAAAGAAUUAGAAAUUGUCUCUCCUCUUUUAUAUUAUCUUUCACUUUUUUUUAGAAAGACAUUCUCAAUGAAAAAUACUUUUUGAUUGUUUCAGCUCUCUGUCUGUCUUAUUUGUGCUGUUCUUAAGAUUUUAGAAGCAAAUCUUUAAGUUUCUUUGCUGUAAGUUUUGUUUACGCUCACUUAACUUGAACCAGACUGAAACAUGUUAUCAGCCAAAUUACUGACAAGUCCUAUCAAAACAAAACAUGCUCAUGUUAGCAUAGGAUUUAAUUAAUGAUUUUGUAUCUUCUCUUUUUCUUCACAUAUUCUCAUAUUGAACCACACAAGUCUUAUUCUUAAUUCUUCUUUUAAGAUACUCCGCUUAGGUAGAUCUUGGUUUAACCUUCUUUGUCUUUAUCAGAACAGCCUUAUUUAUUAAAUUUUUUUGUGGUGUAGAUUCAAAAUGUCGGAAACAUUCUUCAGAGAUUUUGGUUCACAUUAAUAAGACAGCACCAUGAAAGAUUUGCAGAUUUGUCUACACCUGAAUCUCCCAUUCCACAAAAUCCCAAAGGUGCUCUGUUAAUUUUUAAAACCCUUCUAUGAGAACUCGAAAGAUGGUUGUUUGAAAAUCACAAUUUCUAAAAUACCAUCAACCAUUCCAUGUUCAGAGUCACCUAUGUUUACCACUCUAAAUCUGUUUUUACCACCAUCACCAUGUCUAGAUGCCAAAAGACAUACAGUUGCUGAAAAGGGAUUGGCUGCCUAACAAGGCCAGGGUGUACUUAAUAAAGUGGGUGUUGCACAUGCUGUAAGACAUACUGGGUGUUACAUUACUUAAACUCUCUGUCACAGAGCUCCAUUAACAUGCAUGCACUAUCAUUAGUGCUGGUGUGGUUUAUUCACCAAAUGUUUGUAGUGUUUGGGGAAGGUGUGAUUUGAGAUAGUUCAUACAGUUUCAUCCAGAGCUUUUCACUGUUAGAAAGUGAGCUGAUGUUUUGUGUUAGCUGCAUGAUGUCAGAUUCACAGGUUGCAGAAAUAUUUUCAUGCCUUCUGGACCUCAUGCAGGGAGCUCAGGUUGCAUGGUAUUAAGUGCAGUUUUGACUCUGCAGAACUUUGUGAAAUGUAGUUAUAUAAUCAACUACAUGAUUUACACCCCCCCCCACAACAUUAUUGGUAAAUUUUAAGAAGCUUAAAUAGUUUUUCAGCAUUUUUUACCCACUUGCCGACAGUUGUGGGGUCAACUAGAUUUCUGACCCAAACUGAGAUUAAAUGUGCUCAUCAUGCUGGUUAUAUAACUCAAUACCCUGGAAUCCCAGCCCUAAUAAUUCUUCUCUUUAUUUUGCUGUUUAUUUCCCUUAUUCUGCCCAAGUGAACACAUUAUAUCUGACAUUUUUGUUUUUGGAAGGAGGCAGUAAGCAUGUGUAUUUGGGAAGCGACCCACUGAGAGUAAUGAAUUUGGACACCGGAGUGUAUGUGUUGCAGAAGUGGGCGUGUGUCGCAGGCGAGCCUGAAGAUCUGGUUGGGUAAGAGCUGGGCUGUAUAAAAAGGCGGAGCGCAGCGCAGAAGCUCUCUCUCUGGUUCAGGUUCUUCUCUGUUUGGCAUCUGUUAGGAGUUUCUUCUGUCAUUUUUUUCCCUGUUGGUGGAAGCAGAAGAUCCCAUAGUUGGGACUGUAGUGAUCCUUUCUUCCUUUUUGCAGACGGUGAGAAGUCCAUCUGUUUUCAUAAUCAGCUCUUGACUUGAGGAGUACCAAAACAAAACUUGGAAUAACAAUUUUUUUCUAUAAAGGGUGUAACUCCACAGGUCCUGAACCACCCCGGGGGUUCACUGAUCCAUCAUUUCAGGAAACAUGAUCAUCAGACUGGGCAGGCUCACACCUGGAUACUUCCGCCUUCUCCAGAGGCAGGUCGCUGGUGAGGUCCAAACGCAGCCGCAUGACCGCACCGUCAACCAGAUCGCCAUGAUGCUGGCCAUCAUGGGUCUGAGUCUGUCCUACUACAGUGCCAAACAAAUGACAGAGAAGGUCCAAGUCCAGCCUGCAGCCUGAAGAGGCUCGGUCGCUCCAGAAUCUGGAGAUGACAGAUGAACCAAUGAGAACCGGAGGAAGAAACGGAAGUAAAGGGAGGAAGAAAGGCACGGUGGUGUGUCUCGGGACAGCACUUUUCUCACCUUAGUCGUCAAUCACACCCUUCCACUGACUUCCUGGGAUCCUUCACACAUCACCAGCAGAACUUUCAGGGUCAAAUAAAAAAUAAUUCCCAUUUUCUGGUGCCAGGACCUUCAACAAUUUGGGAGAUUUACUUAUCUGGGGUCAUGGGGAGAACUGGUUUUAGUCUGUGGAAACCAGCUCACUGCCAAACGAGUCUGAGCAUUAGUCAUUACAAAGGUGCAUGCUUGCAGGAUGCCAUCAGUGCUAUAAAAAGGAGAAAAACUUUCACUGUGAAACAAAUUUUGUCCAAAAAGGGUUAUAUUUUCUGAAUUCUCCUUUUUAAGGGAUGGCUGACUGAGCUGUGCCUCCAGAUGAAGUGAUGGCAGACCCAGAACAAGACUAAAAGGGGAUGAUACGUUACCUUUAAUCCUUUUGACUUUUUUGUUUUUUGUUCCUCUUCCAGAAUUUUAUAGAGCCUCAGAACAGAUCAGAAUCUGUGAUGUCGGUCUAUAUGCCAGCUGUGUCUGUCAGUAAAUAUUUGCACAAAACUAUCGAAACCUUUUGAAAUGCUAAAGUGGAAUCUGCAAAGGGACUCCAAAGUAUUCACUGUUUAAUGUGUGUUUUCAUUGUUUUAACAAUUCACAAGUCCUCUGUGUGUGACUGUUGAUGAGAGCCUUUCUUGCAGGAUCUACAAAUGCUAGUGCAAUUGUGAAAUGUUAGUGAAAUGCAUGUACAUGUAGAAAUGUAAUCAUUGCAAUCUUCACUAGUCUUGUUUUUUUUUUAUUGAUGAAUGAAUGUUUCACUUUAUUUUUGCAAUGAUUUAAUAAAGCUGUGAAUAUUUUAAGAGA
Long non-coding RNA from Xiphophorus hellerii (green swordtail), 4249 nucleotides. RefSeq lists it as uncharacterized. The transcript has 4 exons. The record is from RefSeq and is a predicted model, not a curated record. NCBI's taxonomy places the organism in Eukaryota, Metazoa, Chordata, Actinopteri, Cyprinodontiformes, Poeciliidae.